Molecule: ribosomal RNA, 314 nt
Filed under: uncultured eukaryote
Lineage: Eukaryota
Description: partial 18S ribosomal RNA
Rfam family: Eukaryotic small subunit ribosomal RNA
Source: RNAcentral
CCCCUAGAUGUUCUGGGCCGCACGCGCGCUACACUGAACAGUUCAACAAGUCUUAACCUUGGCCGACAGGCCCGGGCAAUCUUUGAACGCUGGUCGUGAUGGGGAUAGACUUUUGCAAUUUUUGGUCUUCAACGAGGAAUUCCUAGUAAACGCAAGUCAUCAACUUGCAUUGAUUACGUCCCUGCCCUUUGUACACACCGCCCGUCGCACCUACCGAUUGAAUGGUCCGGUGAAGCCUCCGGAUUGGCGCGCACCUCGGUGCCGCCGAGAAGUUGGCUAAACCUUACCAUUUAGAGGAAGGUGAANUCGUANCA